RNAcentral lists this unclassified non-coding RNA (184 nucleotides) under soil metagenome. Its description in RNAcentral is "partial internal transcribed spacer 1". The record is from RNAcentral.
AAAGACAUAGCAUAUUCUUCUGAAUAUACUUUAUUAACCCAUUCCGAGUACCUACCCGUUGCUUUCCGCGAGGCUGUCCUCACGGCCCUCUGAAGAUUUAUCUUUGGGGAGUCCAUUGCGGAAGGUAUGCAAUAAACUCUUGCAUUACCAUGUCAUCUGUCUGAAUCUGUUUAAACAAAUAUUA